GUGUGCAGCAUUAGAACAAGGGGACACAGCCUUGAUUCUCUUCUGAGCAACAUGAACUGGGAUUUCUGCCACCCCAAUCUCGGCUGCCACCUCUGAAGAAGUCGUGACCAGCCACCUCCACAGUAAAAGAUUCCUCCCAGGGAAUUUCCGUUUGGGCAAUGUUUUCAGAAAUGUAAUCUUUUCAAUAUGAAACUGCUGAUGGUCCAAGAAAACAAAACCCUCAACCCAAGGGAACAUCAGAUUGCUGGUCAAGGAGAAACGAGGAGCUGAUGGUCUCAGCAUUUAUUCGACUUGCUCCAUGGACAGAGCAGGAGAAGGCUCAAACCUCUUCACCCCAGGACUCUCCCUCACACCUGCCUCCUCACCCAAACCCUAGUGGACAGGACAGGAACCACCACCAUUUUAUGGUUUUCAAAAAACCUGCAUUGAACACUGUGAGCCAGGCGCUGAUUGAAGCGCCUUUCACUCCAUGAUCUCAUCUACUGCUUGCAAGUCCACCAGGUAAGGCCCACAUUUUGGACAAAGAGCCUGAGGAACCUACCCACUCCCCGCAGUGCUCACACUUUUGUCCCUCCAGAGGACGGGAACCUCCUCUUUCUUUGGCAAGCCCUGUAGGGGACCAGCCCAUGGGCCCUGGGGUAGGGCAGCCAGGCUGCGGCCCUUCCCUCACCAUGGCCUAUGGUUCUCCUUCCCUUUUCCUUUAAGAAGGCCAGGUGAGAAUCACAGGAAAGGGUGAAUUUACCUUGAUUAAAAAUAACAUUUCUUAAAGGGG
Rhinopithecus roxellana (golden snub-nosed monkey) is the source of this 772-nucleotide long non-coding RNA. RefSeq lists it as uncharacterized. The record is from RefSeq and is a predicted model, not a curated record. NCBI's taxonomy places the organism in Eukaryota, Metazoa, Chordata, Mammalia, Primates, Cercopithecidae. The transcript has 2 exons.